Small nuclear RNA from Molossus molossus (Pallas's mastiff bat), 107 nucleotides. NCBI's taxonomy places the organism in Eukaryota, Metazoa, Chordata, Mammalia, Chiroptera, Molossidae. The record is from RefSeq and is a predicted model, not a curated record.
GUGCUUGGUUCCACAGCACAUAUACUAAAAUUGGAAUGAUAUAGACAAGAUUAGCAUGGCCCCUGCACAAGGAUGAAAAAAAUUAUAUAUAUACAUAUGAUGUACCU